Molecule: long non-coding RNA, 919 nt
Organism: Belonocnema kinseyi
Lineage: Eukaryota; Metazoa; Arthropoda; Insecta; Hymenoptera; Cynipidae
Exons: 4
Source: RefSeq, a predicted model, not a curated record
UGCCCGGAAGCUGUUGAUAUGCAAGAGAUCUGUGAAAAAAAGAUAAGAUGAGUCUCAGGGUCUCACGUAGAGGAAAAUCAAAAUAUCAAAGCAAAAGUGGUUUAAAAAUUAAUAAAAAGUUAUUAUAAGUCAUCAACUUUUGCAACGCUUCAAAUUUAUAUUCUCGAUGUGUGGCGCCACAUUUUGUGUUAAUCCCUCCCUACAAUACAUCACAAAUCACCACAAAAAAUGUUACCCCACGCCCAUGGCAGUAUGACGCAUUUUUUAAACAGCCUCAUAGUUAACACCACCCAUGGUACUUCGUAAAGAUGUUUACACGAUUGUGCUGAUAUUUAUGAUUACGUCGGCAUUUUUAGGUAAUAAAUAAGUCACUUUUGGGUUCUCUGAUUUGUGCAUUAAGCAUAAAUAUACAAGAUUGGAGAAAGCGAUUAACAAAAUACAAAUACCUCUGGGAAACAUCCGUCACUUCUCCAAUCAACCUUACUGAAGAACAACAUUGCCAGUGAUAUAGCAAUAUUUAUUAGAAUAUUCAUCAGUUACACUGUUCAGGAAAUUUUCCAUUUGCUAAUUACCAUUAUUUAGAGAAGAUGAAGAUCAUCGCCCUGUUUUUUACCUUAGCGGUUUUGUUCAACACUAUUGAAUUUAGUUCACAGGCCUGCUGGGGCAAACGAACGAGAAUAUCUCCAGAGCCUACGAUUCGUCACAUUUACUAUUACCAAGAUGAACAUGGUGAUCUUCAAUCAAUAAUAGGAAAUGUUGAAGUAGAGAUAGAUAAUUUUGGAAUUAUCAAUGGAGUAGUCGUUAAAAACGCGCUUCGUCCAAUAUUUGAUAAAAGAUACCAAAGGAUUGGAAUAAAUUUACGUGAAAACAAAAGUUAUCCACUGAACGACCGUAUAGCUGAUGGUCUUAAUUUCGGAGG